RNAcentral lists this transfer RNA (67 nucleotides) under bovine gut metagenome. It matches the Rfam family "tRNA". Rfam says of the family: Transfer RNA (tRNA) molecules are approximately 80 nucleotides in length. The record is from RNAcentral.
GACGUAGCGCAGUUUGGUAGCGCACCUGAUUUGGGAUCAGGAGGCCGCAGGUUCAAAUCCUGUCGUC